CAAAAGGCUCUUUUCAGAGCCACUUACAUAAUCCUAAAAAGGUGG
This is a non-coding RNA of Mustela putorius furo (domestic ferret), 45 nucleotides long. The record is from Rfam. NCBI's taxonomy places the organism in Eukaryota, Metazoa, Chordata, Mammalia, Carnivora, Mustelidae.